AUUGAACGCUGGCGGCAGGCCUAACACAUGCAAGUCGAGCGGAUGAAAGGGGCUUGCUCCUGGAUUCAGCGGCGGACGGGUGAGUAAUACGCAGGAAUCUACCUAGUAGUGGGGGAUAACGUUUCGAAAGGGGCGCUAAUACCGCAUACGUUCUGAGGAAGAAAGCAGGGGAUCGCAAGACCUUGCGCUAUUAGAUGAGCUUGCGUCCGAUUAGCUAGUUGGUGGGGUAAAGGCCUACCAAGGCGACGAUCGGUAACUGGUCUGAGAGGAUGAUCAGUCACACUGGAACUGAGACACGGUCCAGACUCCUACGGGAGGCAGCAGUGGGGAAUAUUGGACAAUGGGGGCAACCCUGAUCCAGCCAUGCCGCGUGUGUGAAGAAGGCCUCGGUUGUAAG
This 397-nucleotide ribosomal RNA is filed under the name uncultured bacterium. RNAcentral's name for it is "bacterial SSU rRNA". It matches the Rfam family "Bacterial small subunit ribosomal RNA", at positions 30 to 429 of the family's 1533-position model. The record is from RNAcentral.